GGCGCCAUAGCCAAGUGGUAAGGCAGAGGUCUGCAAAACCUUUAUCCCCAGUUCGAGUCUGGGUGGCGCCUCCA
Molecule: transfer RNA, 74 nt
Filed under: Bacillota bacterium
Lineage: Bacteria; Bacillati; Bacillota
Also listed under: 3 other names
Description: Firmicutes bacterium tRNA-Cys
Rfam family: tRNA
About the family: Transfer RNA (tRNA) molecules are approximately 80 nucleotides in length. Their secondary structure includes four short double-helical elements and three loops (D, anti-codon, and T loops). Further hydrogen bonds mediate the characteristic L-shaped molecular structure. tRNAs have two regions of fundamental functional importance: the anti-codon, which is responsible for specific mRNA codon recognition, and the 3' end, to which the tRNAs corresponding amino acid is attached (by aminoacyl-tRNA synthetases). tRNAs cope with the degeneracy of the genetic code in two manners: having more than one tRNA (with a specific anti-codon) for a particular amino acid; and 'wobble' base-pairing, i.e. permitting non-standard base-pairing at the 3rd anti-codon position.
Source: RNAcentral